RNAcentral lists this unclassified non-coding RNA (378 nucleotides) under plant metagenome. RNAcentral describes it as "partial contains 5.8S ribosomal RNA, internal transcribed spacer 2, and large subunit ribosomal RNA". The stretch from base 1 to 105 matches the Rfam family "5.8S ribosomal RNA", at positions 50 to 154 of the family's 154-position model. The record is from RNAcentral.
GAAAUGCGAUAAGUAAUGUGAAUUGCAGAAUUCAGUGAAUCAUCGAAUCUUUGAACGCACCUUGCGCUCCUUGGUAUUCCUUGGAGCAUGCCUGUUUGAGUAUCAUGAAAUCUUCAAAGUAAAUCUUUUGUUAACUCAAUUGGUUUCUACUUUGGUAUUGGAGGUCUUUGCAGCUUCACACCUGCUCCUCUUUGUUCAUUAGCUGGAUCUCAGUGUUAUGCUUGGUUCCACUCGGCGUGAUAAGUUAUCUAUCGCUGAGGACACUGUAAAAGGUGGCCAAGGUAAAUGCAGAUGAACCGCUUCUAAUAGUCCAUUGACUUGGACAAUACUUUUAUGAUCUGAUCUCCAAUCAGGUAGGACUACCCGCUGAACUUAAGC